RNAcentral lists this ribosomal RNA (486 nucleotides) under uncultured bacterium. RNAcentral describes it as "partial 16S ribosomal RNA". It matches the Rfam family "Bacterial small subunit ribosomal RNA", at positions 30 to 507 of the family's 1533-position model. The record is from RNAcentral.
AUUGAACGCUGGCGGCAUGCCUUACACAUGCAAGUCGAACGGCAGCACGGGUGCUUGCACCUGGUGGCGAGUGGCGCACGGGUGAGUAAUACAUCGGAACAUGUCCUGUAGUGGGGGAUAGCCCGGCGAAAGCCGGAUUAAUACCGCAUACGAUCUACGGAUGAAAGCGGGGGACCUUCGGGCCUCGCGCUAUAGGGUUGGCCGAUGGCUGAUUAGGUAGUUGGUGGGGUAAAGGCCUACCAAGGCGACGAUCAGUAGCUGGUCUGAGAGGACGACCAGCCACACUGGGACUGAGACACGGCCCAGACUCCUACGGGAGGCAGCAGUGGGGAAUUUUGGACAAUGGGCGAAAGCCUGAUCCAGCAAUGCCGCGUGUGUGAAGAAGGCCUUCGGGUUGUAAAGCACUUUUGUCCGGAAAGAAAUCCUUGGCCCUAAUACGGUCGGGGGAUGACGGUACCGGAAGAAUAAGCACCGGCUAACUACGUG